GAUGAAGAACGCAGCGAAAUGCGAUAAGUAAUGUGAAUUGCAGAAUUCAGUGGAUCAUCGAAUCUUUGAACGCACAUUGCGCCCGCCAGUAUUCUGGCGGGCAUGCCUGUUCGAGCGUCAUUACAACCCUCAGGCCCCCGGGCCUGGCGUUGGGGAUCGGCGGAGCCCCCCGUGGGCACACGCCGUCCCCCAAAUGCAGUGGCGGUCCCGCCGCAGCUUCCAUCGCGUAGUAGCUAACACCUCGCGACUGGAGAGCGGCGCGGCCACGCCGUAAAACACCCAACUCUUCUGAAGUUGACCUCGAAUCAGGUAGGAAUACCCGCUGAACUUAAGCAUAUCAAUAAGCGGAGGA
Molecule: unclassified non-coding RNA, 352 nt
Filed under: soil metagenome
Description: partial contains 5.8S ribosomal RNA, internal transcribed spacer 2, and large subunit ribosomal RNA
Rfam family: 5.8S ribosomal RNA (bases 1-120)
Source: RNAcentral